CGAACGUCGGACCCAAAUUUAGUACAUUCGAUAUCAAAUCUUUCUACCAUACGCCUCAACAGAGGAGAAAACAUUUUUAAUAUGGACGACUCGACAAACCAAAAAAAAAAAACCCCAACAAUAUACAUAAUGAACACUGUUUGGAAAAGUCAACCUUUUCAAAGUAACUUUCUAAAUUAUGUUUGAAAUUUAUAAAGAAUGCAUUUAUUUAAUAAUUUGUUUGUUUGUUUUGUUUUGUUUGUUUGUUUGUUUUUU
This 255-nucleotide long non-coding RNA is filed under the name Mytilus galloprovincialis (Mediterranean mussel). The record is from RNAcentral. Lineage: Eukaryota; Metazoa; Mollusca; Bivalvia; Mytilida; Mytilidae.